RNAcentral lists this ribosomal RNA (200 nucleotides) under uncultured bacterium. Its description in RNAcentral is "partial 16S ribosomal RNA". It matches the Rfam family "Bacterial small subunit ribosomal RNA", at positions 8 to 209 of the family's 1533-position model. The record is from RNAcentral.
AGAGUUUGAUCCUGGCUCAGGACGAACGCUGGCGGCGUGCCUAAUACAUGCAAGUCGAGCGGACUUUGUCCUCGGGAUAAAGUUAGCGGCGGACGGGUGAGUAACACGUAGGCAACCUGCCGAUAAGACUGGGAUAACCUCCGGAAACGGAAGCUAAGACCGGAUACGUUGGCGUUUCGCAUGAAGCGUCAUGGAAAGAC